Molecule: ribosomal RNA, 450 nt
Filed under: uncultured bacterium
Lineage: Bacteria
Description: bacterial SSU rRNA
Rfam family: Bacterial small subunit ribosomal RNA
Source: RNAcentral
GUGGGGAAUUUUGGACAAUGGGCGCAAGCCUGAUCCAGCAAUGCCGCGUGCAGGAAGAAGGCCUUCGGGUUGUAAACUGCUUUUGUACGGAACGAAACGGUCCGGGUUAAUACCCUGGGCUAAUGACGGUACCGUAAGAAUAAGCACCGGCUAACUACGUGCCAGCAGCCGCGGUAAUACGUAGGGUGCAAGCGUUAAUCGGAAUUACUGGGCAUAAAGCGUGCGCAGGCGGUUUUGUAAGACAGGCGUGAAAUCCCCGGGCUCAACCUGGGAAUUGCGCUUGUGACGGCAAGGCUGGAGUGCGGCAGAGGGGGAUGGAAUUCCGCGUGUAGCAGUGAAAUGCGUAGAGAUGUGGAGGAACACCGAUGGCGAAGGCAGCCCCCUGGGCCAAUACUGACGCUCAUGCACGAAAGCGUGGGGAGCAAACAGGAUUAGAUACCCCGGUAGUCC